AUUGAACGCUGGCGGCAGGCUUAACACAUGCAAGUCGAGCGGGGUGAUGGUGCUUGCACUAUCACUUAGCGGCGGACGGGUGAGUAAUGCUUAGGAAUCUGCCUAUUAGUGGGGGACAACAUCUCGAAAGGGAUGCUAAUACCGCAUACGUCCUACGGGAGAAAGCAGGGGAUCACUUGUGACCUUGCGCUAAUAGAUGAGCCUAAGUCGGAUUAGCUAGUUGGUGGGGUAAAGGCCUACCAAGGCGACGAUCUGUAGCGGGUCUGAGAGGAUGAUCCGCCACACUGGGACUGAGACACGGCCCAGACUCCUACGGGAGGCAGCAGUGGGGAAUAUUGGACAAUGGGGGGAACCCUGAUCCAGCCAUGCCGCGUGUGUGAAGAAGGCCUUAUGGUUGUAAAGCACUUUCAAUUGGAAGGAAAACCUCGAAGCUAAUACCUUCGAGUUUGACAUUACCUUUAGAAGAAGCACCGGCUAACUCCGUGCCAGCAGCCGCGGUAA
RNAcentral lists this ribosomal RNA (501 nucleotides) under uncultured bacterium. RNAcentral describes it as "partial 16S ribosomal RNA". It matches the Rfam family "Bacterial small subunit ribosomal RNA", at positions 30 to 523 of the family's 1533-position model. The record is from RNAcentral.